This 279-nucleotide ribosomal RNA is filed under the name uncultured bacterium. RNAcentral describes it as "partial 16S ribosomal RNA". It matches the Rfam family "Bacterial small subunit ribosomal RNA", at positions 506 to 784 of the family's 1533-position model. The record is from RNAcentral.
UGCCAGCCGCCGCGGUAAUACGGAAGGUGCAAGCGUUGUUCGGAUUGACUGGGCGUAAAGCGCACGUAGGCGGGUUAAUAAGUCGGAUGUGAAAGCCCCAAGCUUAACUUGGGAACUGCAUCCGAAACUGUUAAUCUUGAAUGCUUGAGAGGUUGGUGGGAUUCCUGGUGUAGGAGUGAAAUCCGUAGAUAUCAGGAGGAACACCGGAGGCGAAGGCGGCCAACUGGCAAUGCAUUGACGCUGAGGUGCGAAAGCGUGGGGAGCAAACAGGAUUAGAUA